RNAcentral lists this ribosomal RNA (365 nucleotides) under Diptilomiopus sp. GX39. RNAcentral's name for it is "partial small subunit ribosomal RNA". Lineage: Eukaryota; Metazoa; Arthropoda; Arachnida; Trombidiformes; Diptilomiopidae. The record is from RNAcentral.
UUUAAUUUUUUUAAAAGUGACGGGCGAUAUGUGCAUAUUUAAUUUCUUUUUCUAUUCUAAAUUUUCUUUUUUAAAAUUAAUUUUAAAUCCUAAUUGACUUUUCUUAUUUUAAUUGGUUCUUUAUUUUUUUAUUGUAUUUCAUUUUUUCUUUAGUAUAAUUCUUGUCCUGAUUUGUAUUAUUUAUUUAUUUGUACUUUUUAAGAAUAUUUUUAUUUAAUUCUUUUUACAAUGAUAUAAGAAAUAAUAAUUAAAGUAGAUUUAAUCGCGGGUUGUCGAUUAUAAAACAAAAUCCUCUAAUUAGUUUAAAUACCGCCAUUUUUUUUAGAUUUUUCUUUCCUUAGAUACUAUCUUUACUUCUCUUAAAA